This 497-nucleotide ribosomal RNA is filed under the name uncultured bacterium. Its description in RNAcentral is "partial 16S ribosomal RNA". It matches the Rfam family "Bacterial small subunit ribosomal RNA", at positions 28 to 507 of the family's 1533-position model. The record is from RNAcentral.
GAUGAACGCUGGCGGCGUGCCUAAUACAUGCAAGUCGAGCGAACGGACGAGAAGCUUGCUUCUCUGAUGUUAGCGGCGGACGGGUGAGUAACACGUGGAUAACCUACCUAUAAGACUGGGAUAACUUCGGGAAACCGGAACUAAUACCGGAUGAUAUUUUGAACCGCAUGGUUCAAAAGUGAAAGACGGUCUUGCUGUCACUUAUAGAUGGAUCCGCGCUGCAUUAGCUAGUUGGUAAGGUAACGGCUUACCAAGGCAACGAUGCAUAGCCGACCUGAGAGGGUGAUCGGCCACACUGUAACUGAGACACGGUCCAGACUCCUACGGGAGGCAGCAGUAGGGAAUCUUCCGCAAUGGGCGAAAGCCUGACGGAGCAACGCCGCGGGAGUGAUGAAGGUCUUCGGAUCGUAAAACUCUGUUAUUAGGGAAGAACAUAUGUGUAAGUAACUGUGCACAUCUUGACGGUACCUAAUCAGAAAGCCACGGCUAACUCCGUG